ACUACGAGCAAGCGGAGGUCUCAUCCACCCCGCCCACGAAGCUUAAGCCCAAAAAAUGGCUCCAAAGCCUUCACUCCUCUUCCUUGCCAUCCUCUUUCUUGCUGCUCUCAUGUUCUUCACUCCGGCAGUAGCCAGGGAGCUCGAAGCAGAGAAGGCUAAAGAACAACUUACUGCGAAUCAAAUCGGAGAAACAGAGAGUGUUGGAGAGGAGAAAGUGUGCUACUACAUCAGAGGUCACAGAGUCUGCCACCCACCUGCGGCUCAGGCAGAGACGCAUGGUGUUGAGGAAGAGAAAAAAGUUUGCUACUAUGUACUGGGUCACAGAGUCUGCCACCCACCGGCGGCUCCUUAAAAUGGCAGAGUGCAUCAUGUUGUUUGUAUAUGGGCUCCCCCAUGAGUGCUUGAGGUAAUUGUAAGGAGAAGUUUGGAAACAAAACCAAAUCAUGAGUGUUUGUGUGCUAAUAUGUAAGCAGUCAGCCUGGCAUAUGUGCCUUAUAUCUAGGGUAAAUAAUUGGGGAGAUGCCAUAUGGUUGUUCUCAAAAAAAAAAGAAACAUAGACAAGAAAAAAAAAAGAGAGUUCCUGCAUAAGAUUGUGUUUUCUUCUUCCUUUUUCUUCACUAAGAACUGAGAGAGUAUGUAGUUUCCUUCUUUUAUCAUCUACUUUGAUGGUCA
Phoenix dactylifera (date palm) is the source of this 672-nucleotide long non-coding RNA. RefSeq lists it as uncharacterized. NCBI's taxonomy places the organism in Eukaryota, Viridiplantae, Streptophyta, Magnoliopsida, Arecales, Arecaceae. The record is from RefSeq and is a predicted model, not a curated record.